AAGUCUCGUCUUUCUAAAUUUUCAGCAACCGAACUUUCAAGAAAAUAAGAAGAAAAUAGCAGUUGGAGAAUUGGAGAAAUAAAGGGAAGGAAACCGCUGCCAAGAGGUUAAUAUGUUACGCGAGCUGUUGUUUUGAUUGGAGGGGUAUGAAAGUAUUUGAAUUUUGAUAAAAGGGUAAAGUUGGAAAACAGAGCAGCAUCUCCUGGGUAGUAUAUG
RNAcentral lists this long non-coding RNA (216 nucleotides) under Trifolium pratense (red clover). RNAcentral's name for it is "long non-coding RNA (TPRA_LNC012898)". Lineage: Eukaryota; Viridiplantae; Streptophyta; Magnoliopsida; Fabales; Fabaceae. The record is from RNAcentral.